UAUAUGAGGAAAUUCACCUCUGGGGUGGCAAUGAUUAACUUAAUAUACAUCCAGCUAUUAAAAAUGAUGAUGCCAGGAUAUAUUUACUGCCAUAGAAGCAAGCCCAAAAUAUAGAGUGUUUGGUAAACUUCACCAUGUCUAUAUGUCUGUGUCUUUGCACCUGGUGGUCUCUGCUUGGAAUGAUGUCUCAAGGUUUUAUUCACCUGGAAAGAAUUCCUACUCACCCUUAAAGACUCAGCUUAAAUAACCCCUUCUCUGCUCUCAUACAAAGAUGACCCAAGGACAGAGGCAACAGAGGGCAGUGCAGGGUAGUGCAAGAAGCUCUGGCUCUAGGACUAAUUGGACGAGGUCUGAAUCUUAACUCUGGCACCUGUUAGUGAAGCAGCCUCAAGCAAAUCACUUAAUGCUUCUGUACUUCCUUUAUUGUUUUGUAAAUAAAGAAAAUUCAAUC
Molecule: long non-coding RNA, 451 nt
Organism: Homo sapiens (human)
Lineage: Eukaryota; Metazoa; Chordata; Mammalia; Primates; Hominidae
Source: Ensembl